GCAGCGAUGUCCGAGCGGUCAAGGAGAUUGACUAGAAAUCAGUUGGGCUCUGUCCGCCUAGGUUCGAAUCCUGCUCGCGGCG
RNAcentral lists this transfer RNA (82 nucleotides) under Angiostrongylus costaricensis. It matches the Rfam family "tRNA". Rfam says of the family: Transfer RNA (tRNA) molecules are approximately 80 nucleotides in length. Their secondary structure includes four short double-helical elements and three loops (D, anti-codon, and T loops). Further hydrogen bonds mediate the characteristic L-shaped molecular structure. tRNAs have two regions of fundamental functional importance: the anti-codon, which is responsible for specific mRNA codon recognition, and the 3' end, to which the tRNAs corresponding amino acid is attached (by aminoacyl-tRNA synthetases). tRNAs cope with the degeneracy of the genetic code in two manners: having more than one tRNA (with a specific anti-codon) for a particular amino acid; and 'wobble' base-pairing, i.e. permitting non-standard base-pairing at the 3rd anti-codon position. Lineage: Eukaryota; Metazoa; Nematoda; Chromadorea; Rhabditida; Metastrongylidae. The record is from Rfam by way of RNAcentral.